Molecule: ribosomal RNA, 292 nt
Filed under: uncultured bacterium
Lineage: Bacteria
Description: partial 16S ribosomal RNA
Source: RNAcentral
GGACUACCAGGGUUUCUAAUCCUGUUCGCUCCCCACGCUUUCGUGUCUCAACGUCAGAUAUGGACUAAGAAGCUGCCUUCGCCAUCGGUGUUCCUCUCGAGAUCUACGCAUUUAACCGCUACUCCGAGAAUUCCACUUCUCUCUUCCAUCCUCAAGUCUACUAGUUUCCACUGCUUUUCCCCGGUUGAGCCGGGGUAUUUAACAGUAGACUUAAUAGACCGUCUACACACCCUUUACGCCCAGUAAUUCCGAAUAACGCUUGCACCCCUCGUAUUACCGCGGCGGCUGGCAC